CGCACAAGUGGUGGAGCAUGUGGUUUAAUUCGAAGCAACACGAAGAACCUUACCAGGGCUUGACAUCCAGUGCAAAGCUAUAGAGAUAUAGUGGAGGUUAACAUUGAGACAGGUGGUGCAUGGUUGUCGUCAGUUCGUGCCGUGAGGUGUUGGGUUAAGUCCCGCAACGAACGCAACCCUUGUCGUUAGUUACUAACAUUAAGUUGAGGACUCUAACGAGACUGCUAGUGUAAGCUAGAGGAAGGUGGGGAUGACGUCAAAUCAUCAUGCCCCUUAUGUCCUGGGCUACACACGUGCUACAAUGGCUGGUACAAAGAGUCGCAAUCUCGCGAGGGGGAGCUAAUCUCAAAAAGCCAGUCUCAGUUCGGAUUGAAGUCUGCAACUCGACUUCAUGAAGCCGGAAUCACUAGUAAUCGCGAAUCAGCUAUGUCGCGGUGAAUACGUUCUCGGGUCUUGUACACACCGCCCGACACACCACGAGAGUUGGUAAUACCAGAAGUGGGUAGCUUAACCGCAAGGAGAGCACCUCCCAAGGUAGGACUGG
Molecule: ribosomal RNA, 544 nt
Filed under: Acinetobacter baumannii
Lineage: Bacteria; Pseudomonadati; Pseudomonadota; Gammaproteobacteria; Moraxellales; Moraxellaceae
Description: bacterial SSU rRNA
Rfam family: Bacterial small subunit ribosomal RNA
Source: RNAcentral